UACGAAGGGGGCUAGCGUUGUUCGGAAUUACUGGGCGUAAAGGGCGCGUAGGCGGUACUUCAAGUCAGGCGUGAAAGCCCCGGGCUUAACCUGGGAAUGGCAUUGGAAACUGGCGAGCUGGAGUGUGGCAGAGGGGGGUGGAAUUCCACGUGUAGCAGUGAAAUGCGUAGAUAUGUGGAGGAACACCGAUGGCGAAGGCAGCCCCCUGGGUUAACACUGACGCUCAUGCACGAAAGCGUGGGGAGCAAACAGG
This 253-nucleotide ribosomal RNA is filed under the name uncultured bacterium. RNAcentral's name for it is "partial 16S ribosomal RNA". It matches the Rfam family "Bacterial small subunit ribosomal RNA", at positions 524 to 776 of the family's 1533-position model. The record is from RNAcentral.